This 256-nucleotide ribosomal RNA is filed under the name uncultured Gardnerella sp. RNAcentral describes it as "partial 16S ribosomal RNA". It matches the Rfam family "Bacterial small subunit ribosomal RNA", at positions 99 to 356 of the family's 1533-position model. The record is from RNAcentral. Lineage: Bacteria; Bacillati; Actinomycetota; Actinomycetes; Bifidobacteriales; Bifidobacteriaceae.
CGAACGGGUGAGUAAUGCGUGACCAACCUGCCCCAUGCUCCAGAAUAGCUCUUGGAAACGGGUGGUAAUGCUGGAUGCUCCAACUUGACGCAUGUCUUGUUGGGAAAGUGUUUAGUGGCAUGGGAUGGGGUCGCGUCCUAUCAGCUUGUAGGCGGGGUAAUGGCCCACCUAGGCUUCGACGGGUAGCCGGCCCGAGAGGGCGGACGGCCACAUUGGGACUGAGAUACGGCCCAGACUCCUACGGGAGGCAGCAGCG